CUCUAAACCUGCACUAACAAGGUUUUGUUUCCCAUAUUCAUAUUUCAAUGUCUCUCCUGAUUAUUCUGUGUCUAUAGGCAGUCACUGCUCUUGGGGCUGCUAGGUGGGUGAGAGGAGAACUGAAGUAAUGCCUUUUUUUUUUUUUUUUUUUUUUUGGUACAGAGUUUGAGAUGAAUUCCAUGACCUUUCCUAUGUCCCCAAGUUGAAAUCAAGACUGUUCUUUUCUGAGGAGAGGAAGCUUCACCUGAGCAGGGCCCAUGAUGUUAUACAGAGAGGAGCCGGGUGCCAUUUAA
Molecule: long non-coding RNA, 293 nt
Filed under: Crocodylus porosus (Australian saltwater crocodile)
Lineage: Eukaryota; Metazoa; Chordata; Crocodylia; Crocodylidae
Description: lncRNA (ENSCPRG00005000785.1)
Source: RNAcentral